GAUGAACGCUAGCGGCAGGCUUAACACAUGCAAGUCGAGGGGCAGCAUACCCAGCAAUGGGUGAUGGCGACCGGCGGAAGGGUGCGUAACGCGUGAGCAACAUACCCUAUACAGGGGGAUAAGCCAGGGAAACUUGGUCUAAUAUCCCAUAGGAAAUAGAUAAGGCAUCUUGUUUAUUUUAAAGCUUCGGUGGUAUAGGAUUGGCUCGCGUGACAUUAGCUAGAUGGAGGGGUAACGGCCCACCAUGGCAAUGAUGUCUAGGGGUUCUGAGAGGAAGAUCCCCCACACUGGGACUGAGACACGGCCCAGACUCCUACGGGAGGCAGCAGUGAGGAAUAUUGGACAAUGGAUGGAAAUCUGAUCCAGCCAUGCCGCGUGCAGGAAGACGGCCCUAUGGGUUGUAAACUGCUUUUUAUACGGGAGCAAUAAGGUCUAUGCAUAGAUUGAUGAGAGUACCGUAUGAAUAAGCAUCGGCUAACUCCG
Molecule: ribosomal RNA, 483 nt
Filed under: uncultured bacterium
Lineage: Bacteria
Description: bacterial SSU rRNA
Rfam family: Bacterial small subunit ribosomal RNA
Source: RNAcentral